Molecule: unclassified non-coding RNA, 429 nt
Filed under: Hevea brasiliensis (rubber tree)
Lineage: Eukaryota; Viridiplantae; Streptophyta; Magnoliopsida; Malpighiales; Euphorbiaceae
Source: RNAcentral
UAAAAAAGUAGUGUUUGAAUGAUAAUGCUAUAGUGUUGAGAUAGGGACCAAUUAAGGCUAGAAAGAACAAUAUUUAAUGGUAACUGAAACUGCAUUCCUUUUUUUCCUUUUCAAAAACAAAAAUAUUUUCAAAGCUUCUUCUUAUUUUUGCUAAUGCUUUCCAAAGUUUCUUUCAUUUCUGCAUAAAGAAACUCUCACUCACAGAGCUGCACUGAGUCUAAAUGUAGCGACAAAUUAUAGUUGACACCAUUCAUAACGCCAAAACCCACUGCAAGCUAUCUCAUAGAGAAAUGCUUUUAGUCAAAUACGUGGCGUAAAAGACCAAGUAAAAAGUAAAUUAUCAAAUACAUCACUGCACCAAAAAACACAAAGAAAAAUGCAACCAGUGCAACUUCUGCUCAUAUUACACUAUAGUUGAUAGGGUUUUAA